GACGAACGCUGGCGGUGUGCUUAACAUAUGCAAGUCGAACGGAAAGGCCCUGCUUUUGUGGGGUGCUCGAGUGGCGAACGGGUGAGUAACACGUGAGUAACCUGCCCUUGACUUUGGGAUAACUUCAGGAAACUGGGGCUAAUACCGGAUAGGAGCUCCUGCUGCAUGGUGGGGGUUGGAAAGUUUCGGCGGUUGGGGAUGGACUCGCGGCUUAUCAGCUUGUUGGUGGGGUAGUGGCUUACCAAGGCUUUGACGGGUAGCCGGCCUGAGAGGGUGACCGGCCACAUUGGGACUGAGAUACGGCCCAGACUCCUACGGGAGGCAGCAGUGGGGAAUAUUGCACAAUGGGCGGAAGCCUGAUGCAGCAACGCCGCGUGCGGGAUGACGGCCUUCGGGUUGUAAACCGCUUUCGCCUGUGACGAAGCGUGAGUGACGGUAAUGGGUAAAGAAGCACCGGCUAACUACGU
This 467-nucleotide ribosomal RNA is filed under the name uncultured bacterium. RNAcentral describes it as "partial 16S ribosomal RNA". It matches the Rfam family "Bacterial small subunit ribosomal RNA", at positions 28 to 506 of the family's 1533-position model. The record is from RNAcentral.